GAGAGGAAGGUGGGGAUGACGUCAAAUCAGCACGGCCCUUACGUCCAGGGCCACACACGUGCUACAAUGGCCGAUACAGAGGGCAGCUACCUGGUGACAGGAUGCAAAUCUCGAAAGUCGGUCUCAGUUCGGAUCGGAGUCUGCAACUCGACUCCGUGAAGUUGGAUUCGCUAGUAAUCGCGCAUCAGCCAUGGCGCGGUGAAUACGUUCCCGGGCCUU
This 219-nucleotide ribosomal RNA is filed under the name uncultured Sphingobacteriales bacterium. RNAcentral describes it as "partial 16S ribosomal RNA". It matches the Rfam family "Bacterial small subunit ribosomal RNA", at positions 1164 to 1382 of the family's 1533-position model. Lineage: Bacteria; Pseudomonadati; Bacteroidota; Sphingobacteriia; Sphingobacteriales. The record is from RNAcentral.